RNAcentral lists this ribosomal RNA (660 nucleotides) under Arthrobacter sp. JSM 082018. Its description in RNAcentral is "bacterial SSU rRNA". It matches the Rfam family "Bacterial small subunit ribosomal RNA", at positions 67 to 739 of the family's 1533-position model. The record is from RNAcentral. Lineage: Bacteria; Bacillati; Actinomycetota; Actinomycetes; Micrococcales; Micrococcaceae.
CGAUGAUCCGCGUGCUUGCAUCGGGGAUUAGUGGCGAACGGGUGAGUAACACGUGAGUAACCUGCCCUUAACUCUGGGAUAAGCCUGGGAAACUGGGUCUAAUACCGGAUAUGACUCCUCAUCGCAUGGUGGGGGGUGGAAAGCUUUUGUGGUUUUGGAUGGACUCGCGGCCUAUCAGCUUGUUGGUGAGGUAAUGGCUCACCAAGGCGACGACGGGUAGCCGGCCUGAGAGGGUGACCGGCCACACUGGGACUGAGACACGGCCCAGACUCCUACGGGAGGCAGCAGUGGGGAAUAUUGCACAAUGGGCGGAAGCCUGAUGCAGCGACGCCGCGUGAGGGAUGACGGCCUUCGGGUUGUAAACCUCUUUCAGUAGGGAAGAAGCGAAAGUGACGGUACCUGCAGAAGAAGCGCCGGCUAACUACGUGCCAGCAGCCGCGGUAAUACGUAGGGCGCAAGCGUUAUCCGGAAUUAUUGGGCGUAAAGAGCUCGUAGGCGGUUUGUCGCGUCUGCCGUGAAAGUCCGGGGCUCAACUCCGGAUCUGCGGUGGGUACGGGCAGACUAGAGUGAUGUAGGGGAGACUGGAAUUCCUGGUGUAGCGGUGAAAUGCGCAGAUAUCAGGAGGAACACCGAUGGCGAAGGCAGGUCUCUGGGCAUUAA